UUGAAAGGGAAACGAUUGAAGUCAGUCGUACCAGCGGGAAAUCAACCUUUCGAGUAGGGNUUUUGGAGUUUUUUGAAGAGUGUCAAAACCUUUGAGAUUUCAAAAUAUUCGCUCUUUUGGUGUACUUUCUCGUGGGUAGGUUAACAUCGAUUUUGAUCAUCAUAAAAAGAUUGGAGGAAUGUAGCUUCGAUCUUGUAUUGAAGUGUUAUAGCCUUUGGUAAAUGUGAUGAUUAGGAUCGAGGAUUGCAACGAAUACCCUUUUGGGCUAUCCGCCUGAUCUCUGAUACGUGGCCUUGGUAUCGAAAGCGUGCUUAUGGUAUUGAGGUAUUACGGUCAAAAGGUUAGAACGGAUUACAUUCGUUAAGGAUGUUGACGUA
This 377-nucleotide ribosomal RNA is filed under the name uncultured Glomeromycotina. RNAcentral describes it as "LSU rRNA". Lineage: Eukaryota; Fungi; Glomeromycota. The record is from RNAcentral.